AUGAUCGCAACGUCGGAACCAAACGCGAAACAGUGCUUUUCACCCUCAUGGCGACUUUGGAUCAUAGCAUCUUUGUCCGCAUGGCUGUCACGCUUUGGCUGGACGGCACGGCGAAAAUAUAUACAUGAGGGAAUCACACAAAGUCCGCAGGCCACUUCUCUCUUUGUGAGCAGGUUUAUCAAAGAACUGGAGCUGAUCAAUACAAAGCCUGGUGCCCCUCGGGUAAAUGUGGCAGCACAUGCAAGGCUAAAAGCACCACCGGUGGGAUACGUUAAGAUCCAUGUAGAUGAAGCAGUCUUGCGCAAUCGGCGAGGCUUGGCGGCGGCUGUAUGCCGAGACCAGGCGGGCAACUACCUGGGAAGUUCUGCACUUGUCUUACCAGGGAUAGCUGACCCGCCCACUUUGGAAGCAAUUGCUUGUCGAGAAGGCCUUGCUUUGGCGGAGGAUCUUCUCCUGGGGAACCUAAUCAUCGUGUCUGAUUGCAAGCGGGUUGUUGAUGACAUCAAGCUAGGCAACCAGUGCUCCUAUGGUUCAGUGAUAACAUAAAUUAAACUUCGCUCUUUGGAUUUUACUUGUAGUUUUGUUUUUGAAAGCCGUUCUUCAAACGUUGAAGCUCAUAGUUUAGCUAAGCAUGCACUCUCUCUUGGUGCGGGGCGCCACACUUGGCUGAUUAACCCUUAUAAUCCGAUUUGUAUCCCACUUCAUGUGGAUUAUGAUCAAUAA
Molecule: ribosomal RNA, 723 nt
Filed under: Triticum aestivum (bread wheat)
Lineage: Eukaryota; Viridiplantae; Streptophyta; Magnoliopsida; Poales; Poaceae
Description: partial small subunit ribosomal RNA
Source: RNAcentral